RNAcentral lists this unclassified non-coding RNA (516 nucleotides) under Hevea brasiliensis (rubber tree). Lineage: Eukaryota; Viridiplantae; Streptophyta; Magnoliopsida; Malpighiales; Euphorbiaceae. The record is from RNAcentral.
UUUUUUUUUUUUUUGGAUGUGUGUAGCAAAGAACAAAGUGGAUGUAAUUAGACGUUAUGAAUAAUAAAGAUGCAAUUCCAAUGUGAAGAAAAAUAGUGGAUCAGCAUAUUCUAGUGUGCAGUGGCCUUCAGAUAUGCACUUCAUAUUUUUGACAAUCAUGGAACAAAACUCCAUCCUAAUUUGAGCUGGUGACAGCAAUUUUAAAGAUGUUCAAAGCAAAAUCUUCUCAUGGUCAAUGUAUUGCAUCUGUCUUCAGAUUAAAUAUCCUUUUAUAGUAGCAGAGAGCAAGUCACAGUAAGGAAACUUCUAGGAUUCCUUGCAGCCAUGGCCUUUUAACUCGACACUCAUGGCAUUGAGGUACCGAACAUAAAGAAAUUGAUCAAAACAAAAAGUGCAAUACAACACAGGUAUUAAAUGUGAGAUUGAAAAUAAGAAUGUUGAAUGGUUUCAACAUUAAAUCAACAGCAACUUAAGAAACAAAAAUCAAAUCAAAGUGUUUUCUCUAAGUAGAACCUG